RNAcentral lists this ribosomal RNA (334 nucleotides) under uncultured eukaryote. RNAcentral describes it as "partial 18S ribosomal RNA". It matches the Rfam family "Eukaryotic small subunit ribosomal RNA", at positions 1470 to 1796 of the family's 1831-position model. The record is from RNAcentral.
CCCUUAGAUGUCCUGGGCCGCACGCGCGUUACACUGAUGCAUUCAACGAGCUUAUAACCUUGGCCGAGAGGCCUGGGCAAUCUUGUUAACGUGCAUCGUGAUAGGGAUAGAUUAUUGAAAUUAUUAAUCUUGAACGAGGAAUUCCUAGUAAACGCAGAUCAUCAAUCUGCAUUGAUUACGUCCCUGCCCUUUGUACACACCGCCCGUCGCUACUACCGAUUGGAUGAUUUAGUGAGGCCCUCGGAUUGGUCCGGACUCGGGGGUUCCUCCCUUGGGUCCAGGUGCCGAGAAGACGGCCAAACUUGAUUAUCUAGAGGAAGUAAAAGUCGUAACA